This is a long non-coding RNA of Hermetia illucens (black soldier fly), 483 nucleotides long. RefSeq lists it as uncharacterized. Lineage: Eukaryota; Metazoa; Arthropoda; Insecta; Diptera; Stratiomyidae. The record is from RefSeq and is a predicted model, not a curated record. The transcript has 2 exons.
AACACCAGAAAUGGGGGCACUUGUUCAUAACUUGUUUGAUUCAGUUUCUUAUGAGUUUAGUCCAGGACUGUUGAAAAUUGUAUAAAUACGCACGACAUCUGUAGCUAGCAUCAUUCAGGAUUCGUUUGUCCAGAAAGUAUUCACCAAAACCAAAAUGAAAUUCAUCCUCUUGGCUCUCGCCUUCAUCGGUGCCGCUUCCGCGGUCCUUGUAACCCCAUAUGCUAACUGGGGUUAUUCUGGCUGGGGACAUGGAAUCGCUCCAGCGGUCUCUGCCUACCAUGCUCCAGUCGUUAGCGCCUACAGUGCUCCAGUUUAUGGUCAGGGUUACCUUGGAUAUGCUGCUCCCGGAUGGGGAUAUGAUAUUUGGAAGAAGAAAGCUGCUUAAACUGGAUUUCUGAUUAACCGGAAUGUAACAUACAAAACUUAUUAUAUACAUAUAUACUUUUAUUUAAAAUAUACAAUUGGAUCACUAUUGAAAUAAAA